AUCAAACUUCUGCAUAGGCUACAGUGCAUAGCUCUCAAGAAACUAUCUGUGAGAAACAAGGGGAUAGAAGGAAUAUUCAACAUAAAUAAUCAAGAGAUGGGAGACAGAUUCAUGGAGCUUUGAAGACCACUUGGAAGCUAUAACUGAUCCACAAUGUAGCAACAUGUGCACUUCCGGGCUCCCAGGAGUUUGCUCAUGUUACACCACUGUUGGUCUGCCUGAAGCACAUCAGAACUGGCUCCAUGCGUCUUGGCUACAGGUAUGCCUACUGAUUUUCAAGCUGUUUAAGCUCUC
Crotalus tigris (Tiger rattlesnake) is the source of this 294-nucleotide long non-coding RNA. RefSeq lists it as uncharacterized. The record is from RefSeq and is a predicted model, not a curated record. The transcript is spliced from 3 exons. NCBI's taxonomy places the organism in Eukaryota, Metazoa, Chordata, Lepidosauria, Squamata, Viperidae.